This 125-nucleotide small nuclear RNA is filed under the name Myotis davidii. RNAcentral's name for it is "U2 spliceosomal RNA". It matches the Rfam family "U2 spliceosomal RNA". From Rfam's summary of the family: U2 is a small nuclear RNA (snRNA) component of the spliceosome (involved in pre-mRNA splicing). Complementary binding between U2 snRNA (in an area lying towards the 5' end but 3' to hairpin I) and the branchpoint sequence (BPS) of the intron results the bulging out of an unpaired adenosine, on the BPS, which initiates a nucleophilic attack at the intronic 5' splice site, thus starting the first of two transesterification reactions that mediate splicing. The record is from Rfam by way of RNAcentral. Lineage: Eukaryota; Metazoa; Chordata; Mammalia; Chiroptera; Vespertilionidae.
AUCGCUUCUCGGCCUUUUGGCUAAGAUCAAGUGUAGUAUCUGUUCUUAUCAGUUUAAAAGGAAGUGGCUAUAAAUACUUGAUCAUUGGAAAUCCAAACACAUGGGAUUUUUUAAUUGCUCCCAUA